AGUGAACGCUGGCGGUAUGCUUUACACAUGCAAGUCGAACGGCAGCGCGGGCUUCGCCUUCUCGUACAGUUGCCGACGGGUGAAUGAGUCAUGGAUACGUGGCAAGCUAUUGUGGCUAGCGCGGCAACGGACGGAAUCAUACGCCAUUAGACCAGACGAUGUAAGCGUGGAAGCGGAGGAUCUUCCGACCUUGGAGCGGUCGAUGUCGGGUUAGCGAGUUGGUGGGGUAACGGCCUACCAAGGCGACGAUCCGUAGCUGGUCUGAGAGGACGACCAGCCACACUGGGACUGAGACACGGCCCAGACUCCUACGGGAGGCAGCAGUGGGGAAUUUUGGACAAUGGGGGCAACCCUGAUCCAGCCAUGCCGCGUGCGGGAAGAAGGCCUUCGGGUUGUAAACCCCUUUUGUUCGGGAAGAAAACCACUAGGCUAAUACCCCGGUGUUAUGACGGUACCGAAAGAAUAAGCACCGGCUAACUUCGUG
RNAcentral lists this ribosomal RNA (484 nucleotides) under uncultured bacterium. RNAcentral's name for it is "partial 16S ribosomal RNA". It matches the Rfam family "Bacterial small subunit ribosomal RNA", at positions 29 to 507 of the family's 1533-position model. The record is from RNAcentral.